RNAcentral lists this ribosomal RNA (559 nucleotides) under Preussia sp. (in: ascomycete fungi). Its description in RNAcentral is "LSU rRNA". It matches the Rfam family "Eukaryotic large subunit ribosomal RNA", at positions 77 to 651 of the family's 3401-position model. The record is from RNAcentral. Lineage: Eukaryota; Fungi; Ascomycota; Dothideomycetes; Pleosporales; Sporormiaceae.
GCCCCAGUAACGGCGAGUGAAGCGGCAAGAGCUCAAAUUUGAAAUCUGGCCCCUCUGGGGUCCGAGUUGUAAUUUGCAGAGGGUGCUUUGGCGUUGGCUGUGGCCUAAGUUCCUUGGAACAGGACGUCGCAGAGGGUGAGAAUCCCGUAUGUGGCCGCCAGCCUCCGCCGUGUAAAGCCCCUUCGAUGAGUCGAGUUGUUUGGGAAUGCAGCUCUAAAUGGGAGGUAAAUUUCUUCUAAAGCUAAAUACUGGCCAGAGACCGAUAGCGCACAAGUAGAGUGAUCGAAAGAUGAAAAGCACUUUGGAAAGAGAGUCAAAAAGCACGUGAAAUUGUUGAAAGGGAAGCGCUUGCAGCCAGACUUGCCUGUAGUUGCUCAUCCGGGCUUAUGCCCGGUGCACUCUUCUACGGGCAGGCCAGCAUCAGCCCGGGCGGUCGGAUAAAUGCCUGCUAAACGUACCUCUCCUCGGGGAGGACUUAUAGGGCAGGCGGCAUACGACCAGCCUGGGCUGAGGUCCGCGCAUCUGCUAGGAUGCUGGCGUAAUGGCUGUAAGCGGCCCU